This 1164-nucleotide ribosomal RNA is filed under the name Diplacodes bipunctata. Its description in RNAcentral is "partial 16S ribosomal RNA". Lineage: Eukaryota; Metazoa; Arthropoda; Insecta; Odonata; Libellulidae. The record is from RNAcentral.
AUAAUUUUAUCUUACUUAUUUUAAAUUUAUUUUAUGAGAAAUAUCUUUUUAUCUAGUAUAUUAAAGAAAAAUAUUUAUGUAGUUAUAGUGAAUUAGUACUGUGAAGGAAUUGAUGAAAUAUGUUGAAAUUAUUAUUUUUAAUAAGUAUACUUAACUUGUAGUACCUUUUGUAUCAGGGUUAAUUUAUUAAUCUAAAAUAUUUUUAUAUCUCGAUUUCAGAAGAGUUAACCUAGUAUUUUAGUUAAUGUUUCAUAAUUAUUAUAAAUAUAGGUUGGAGGAGAAAUUCUAUUCGGUUCUGAGGGUAUCUAGUUUUUUAAGAAUUAAAUUUAAUUUAUCCUUAUCAUUUAAUUUAUACAUUUUUUAGAUUUUAUUUGAUAAGAGUAAAAUUGUAGGGGAUAAGCUCUAUAUUUUUCUACAAAUCUUACAACUAAUAAAUUUUUGUAGGGUUAUAAUUGCCCAUCAUUAGAAAGUGUGUUAUAAUUUAUUUUUAAUAUUACUUGAUUUUUAUUUUUUUUAGUAAAUUAUUAAAAUAACAAAACAAAUGUUUUAUUUUGAGUAAUAAUGAUUAAAUUAGUAUAAUAAAAUGUUUAUCAACAUUAAAAAAUAAUGAUAAAAUAAGGAACUCGGCAAAUGCAAUUCCCGCCUGUUUAACAAAAACAUGUCCUUUUGAAUUUAAUUUAAGGUCUGGCCUGCCCAGUGAUUUAUUUAACGGCCGCGGUAUACUGACCGUGCAAAGGUAGCAUAAUCAUUAGUCUUUUAAUAGAGGGCUGGAAUGAAAGGUUUAACGAGGAAUUAGCUGUCUCAUUUUAUUUGUUUUAAAAUUUAAUUUUUUAGUUAAAAAGCUAAAAUAAUAUUGGUAGACGAGAAGACCCUAUAGAUCUUUAUACCUAUUCAUUUAAUUAUUUUUAUAUUAAUAUUUUUAUUUGAUAUUGUAUUUUGUUGGGGUGACAAAAAUAUAAAAAUAACUUUUUUAUUUAUACAACAUUGAUAUAUGAUUAUUCGAUCCAUUCUUAUUGAUUAUUAGAUUAAGUUACCUUAGGGAUAACAGCGUAAUCCUCUUCCAGAGUUCAUAUUUACAAGGGGGCUUGCGACCUCGAUGUUGGAUUAAGAUAAUAGUUAGGUGUAGCCGCUUAAUAUAUAGGUCUGUUCGACCUUUAACCCCUA